CCUACGGGUGGCAGCAGUGAGGAAUAUUGGUCAAUGGGCGCGAGCCUGAACCAGCCAUGCCGCGUGCAGGAAGACGGCUCUAUGGGUUGUAAACUGCUUUUGUAAGGGAAUAAAUUGAGAUACGUGUGUCUUUCUGAAUGUAUCGUACGAAUAAGGAUCGGCUAACUCCGUGCCAGCAGCCGCGGUAAUACGGAGGAUCCGAGCGUUAUCCGGAUUUAUUGGGUUUAAAGGGAGCGUAGAUGGGUGGUUAAGUCAGUUGUGAAAGUGUGGGGCUCAACCGUGGAAUUGCAUUUGAUACUGGCAGGCUAGAGUGCAGUUGAGGUAGGCGGAAUUUAUGGUGUAGCGGUGAAAUGCUUAGAGAUCACGAAGAACACCGAUUGCGAAGGCAGCUUACUAAACUGCUACUGACGUUGAGGCUCGAAAGCGUGGGGAGCAAACAGGAUUAGAUACCCCAGUAGUC
RNAcentral lists this ribosomal RNA (460 nucleotides) under uncultured bacterium. Its description in RNAcentral is "partial 16S ribosomal RNA". It matches the Rfam family "Bacterial small subunit ribosomal RNA", at positions 338 to 795 of the family's 1533-position model. The record is from RNAcentral.